Molecule: ribosomal RNA, 253 nt
Filed under: uncultured bacterium
Lineage: Bacteria
Description: partial 16S ribosomal RNA
Rfam family: Bacterial small subunit ribosomal RNA
Source: RNAcentral
CACGUAGGGCGCAAGCGUUGUCCGGAAUUAUUGGGCGUAAAGAGCUCGUAGGCGGUCUGUUGCGUCUGCUGUGAAAACCCGGGGCUUAACCCCUGGCUUGCAGUGGAUACGGACAGACUAGAGUGCGGUAGGGGAGACUGGAAUUCCUGGUGUAGCGGUGAAAUGCGCAGAUAUCAGGAGGAACACCGGUGGCGAAGGCGGGUCUCUGGGCCGUAACUGACGCUGAGGAGCGAAAGCGUGGGGAGCGAACAGG